This 313-nucleotide ribosomal RNA is filed under the name Pharaxonotha sp. D0107. RNAcentral's name for it is "partial 16S large subunit ribosomal RNA". The stretch from base 178 to 313 matches the Rfam family "Bacterial large subunit ribosomal RNA", at positions 2473 to 2608 of the family's 2925-position model. Lineage: Eukaryota; Metazoa; Arthropoda; Insecta; Coleoptera; Erotylidae. The record is from RNAcentral.
GACCCUAUAGAGUUUAAUAUUUUAUUAAUAAAUUAUUUUUUAGAAUUUAAUAUUAAUCUAUUAAUUGAAUAUUUGAUUGGGGUGAUUGAAAAAUUUAAGUAACUUUUUUUAUAUUUAAACAUUAAUUUAUGAUUGUUUGAUCCAUUAUUUAUGAUUAUAAGAUUAAAUUACCUUAGGGAUAACAGCGUAAUUUUUUUUAAGAGUUCAAAUCGAAAAAAAAGAUUGCGACCUCGAUGUUGGAUUAAAAUUUAUUUUUGGUGUAGAAGCUAAAUUUAUUGGGUCUGUUCGACCUUUAAAAUUUUACAUGAUCUGA